UACGGAGGGUGCGAACGUUAAUCGGAAUUACUGGGCGUAAAGCGUGCGUAGACGGUUGCGUAAGUCAGAUGUGAAAGCCCCGGGCUCAACCUGGGAAUUGCAUUUGAGAUUGCGUAGCUAGGGUGCGGAAGAGGGAAGCGGAAUUUCCGGUGUAGCGGUGAAAUGCGUAGAUAUCGGAAGGAACACCAGUGGCGAAAGCGGCUUCCUGGUCCAGCACCGACGUUCAGGCACGAAAGCGUGGGGAGCAAACAGG
This 253-nucleotide ribosomal RNA is filed under the name uncultured bacterium. RNAcentral describes it as "partial 16S ribosomal RNA". It matches the Rfam family "Bacterial small subunit ribosomal RNA", at positions 524 to 776 of the family's 1533-position model. The record is from RNAcentral.